CAACUUUCAGCAACGGAUCUCUUGGCUCUCGCAUCGAUGAAGAACGCAGCGAAAUGCGAUAAGUAAUGUGAAUUGCAGAAUUCAGUGAAUCAUCGAAUCUUUGAACGCACCUUGCGCUCCUUGGUAUUCCGAGGAGCAUGCCUGUUUGAGUGCCAUG
This 157-nucleotide ribosomal RNA is filed under the name Ganoderma sp. PalcostPB_p.09. RNAcentral's name for it is "5.8S ribosomal RNA". It matches the Rfam family "5.8S ribosomal RNA". From Rfam's summary of the family: 5.8S ribosomal RNA (5.8S rRNA) is a component of the large subunit of the eukaryotic ribosome. It is transcribed by RNA polymerase I as part of the 45S precursor that also contains 18S and 28S rRNA. RNAcentral also lists the same sequence under 3 other names. Lineage: Eukaryota; Fungi; Basidiomycota; Agaricomycetes; Polyporales; Polyporaceae. The record is from RNAcentral.